CCCCAAUAACUCUACGGAUCGCCUCCGCACUAUAAUCAACACGGAUUCCCCGCACCACCGUGAAUCCAUCGCGAUUCUCCUUGGCAUCAGCAUAAAACUCUCGAAUAAUAGCCAAGGGAACCGCCUCCGGAGCCUCGCAAAAAGACUCCCAACCUCGUUCUUGAACCAUGUUCAAUAGCUCACCAUCUUCCGCCGUGGGUAAGAAU
This 206-nucleotide long non-coding RNA is filed under the name Daucus carota (carrot). RNAcentral describes it as "long non-coding RNA (DCAR_LNC006834)". Lineage: Eukaryota; Viridiplantae; Streptophyta; Magnoliopsida; Apiales; Apiaceae. The record is from RNAcentral.